This 300-nucleotide small nuclear RNA is filed under the name Marmota monax (woodchuck). Its description in RNAcentral is "7SK RNA". It matches the Rfam family "7SK RNA". Rfam says of the family: 7SK was discovered as an abundant small nuclear RNA in the mid-70s but a possible function has only recently been suggested. Two independent studies have found that 7SK RNA binds the CDK9/cyclin T complex (known as elongation factor P-TEFb). P-TEFb activates transcription by phosphorylating the C-terminal domain of RNA polymerase II. The record is from Rfam by way of RNAcentral. Lineage: Eukaryota; Metazoa; Chordata; Mammalia; Rodentia; Sciuridae.
GAAUGUGAGGGCGAUCUGGCUGCGACAUCUGUCACCCCAUUGAUCGCCAGGGUUGAUUCGGCUGAUCUGGCUGGCUAGGCGGGUGUCCCCUUCCUCCCUCACCGCUCCAUGUGCGUCCCUCCCGAAGCUGCGCGCGCGGUCGAAGAGGACGACCUUCCCCGAUAGAGGAGGACCGUUCUUCGGUCAAGGGUAUACGAGUAGCUGCGCUCCCCUGCUAGAACCUCCAAACAAGCUCUCAAGGUUAAAUUUAGCUUGUAAAGAUUAUUCCACUAAUAACAUUUAAAAAUGUAUCAGUUCUUU